This is a long non-coding RNA of Triticum dicoccoides, 1555 nucleotides long. RefSeq lists it as uncharacterized. The transcript has 5 exons. NCBI's taxonomy places the organism in Eukaryota, Viridiplantae, Streptophyta, Magnoliopsida, Poales, Poaceae. The record is from RefSeq and is a predicted model, not a curated record.
ACAUGGGCCUCCCCCAUGGGUGCGUGAUGCGGGGACAUGAUGUGCCUCCUAGGCUAAUGUUACAGAUCGAUUUGCAUUUACCUCGUUAGAGUUAGACCUAUCAUCACCUUCUUCCUGGCGCACUGGACAUGGGACGGGGCCCCAUGGAUGGGAUGGAGUUCUUCUUCGAAGAUGACGAUUCGGGGUCGGAUGCAGGGUCUAUCUUACAAGGGGAAGUAGCUGCAGUGGAAUUGGCUGUUGCUUCUAUUCAUGGGGCUCGCACACGCAAUGGAGAUUAGAUUUCUUCCCAUGCAAACAGUGGAGGAAUGGAGUCCGGAGAGAACGGAGGAGGACGGCACCCAGAAGAGACAAUCAUGACAGAGGAGAUUAUCGAUUCAUACAUCUGUGGUAGCGAGGUGGUGGCCGAUUCAAUGUCCCCUGAAAAUAUGAGCGGCCAAAGAAGAUGAGACGCAGAGGGAGUGGUCGUCUCAAAAUCACAGGGCUCCUGCUGGACACGAAAGGAAGUUUACUUGUGAUCUAAUCUAUUAUUUUGUGACUCUGUAUAAUGGUAGCACAUAAUGGAGUAAACGAGUCUUCAUGUGAAAUUGACAAGUGAUUAUGACAUGCAAAGCAUCAGAUAUCUUCAUUUUUCUGGUUCAGGAUCCCAUGUGUGAUUCAACAAUUAAUUGGUGUCCAUGUUAAAAUUUGCAGAAUUAGGAUCAGUUAGGAUGCAGAUGAGAGGGAGAACAAUCCCAGCAGAGUGCCUCCUGCGCUUGAGGCUUCGAUACAUUCUUAUGCUGAUAACAAGGCAGAGCCAGACUCAAUGUCCAUGGGAUAAAGUGCAUGCAUGCGCGGGUAAACCACUGCAGUCCAAUAGCAGAUCAAAACGGUGUGGCUGCACUGCUAUGAUGUGGCUACUGAGAUCGGAUGAUAACGGUUCGUACGGGUGCGAGCAUAGGUCAGAAAUGAUCAUGAACUCUCUGUUAACUGUAUGGAGAAGUUACAUUUUUUUUUGCGUGGAAAUGGAGAAGUUACAUUGAAAGUCGCAUCGACACAUGUACACCGGGGACAUGGUAAAAGAACAAAGAAUGAAAGCACAUGCAAAGUUUACAGCAUCGUGGCCAGUUUUUUUGGUGUCAGUGAAGGAGGAUUGCGUCGCUGUGGGUCAUGAUCUUGAAGAGGGUUGCGGCCACUUCGACCCCUUGUUGGCGUUAAUCCCACCGAGCCAUGCAGCAAGUUAUGAAUCGGAGCACAUGUUCGACGAUAUUUGACGGCGCUGCGGCAAUUGAUGGUGCAUGCUCUGAAGACGAAGAAGUCACGAACAAGCCUGCCAAAAAAGCCAGGAUAGUUUGACCGCCUAGUGUAGAUUUUAGAGCAGGAUUGGUUAGCCCUGUUUCAUAUCUUGUGCACGAUAUACUGGUGUGUGACUUGUCCUAGUAAUUGCCUAUGUAAUUGCGUCUAUCACUCUGCGCUUGGAUUCAUGUGUCUUUAAAACCGUUUGUCGUUUGAUUAUUCACCACUUGAAAGAGUGGUUAAGGUCGAUGCAUGGGGCCUCCGGAUCCCUUGUUCUGCUUUC